GACGAACGCUGGCGGCGUGCUUAACGCAUGCAAGUCGAACGGAAAGGCCCUGCUUGCAGGGUGCUCGAGUGGCGAACGGGUGAGUAACACGUGGGUGAUCUGCCCCUUAUUUUGGGAUAAGCCUGGGAAACUGGGUCUAAUACUGGAUAGGACCAUGCUGUAGGUGGUGUGGUGGAAAGAUUAGUUUCGGUAAGGGAUGAGCUCGCGGCCUAUCAGCUUGUUGGUGGGGUAAUGGCCUACCAAGGCGUCGACGGGUAGCCGGCCUGAGAGGGUGGACGGCCACAUUGGGACUGAGAUACGGCCCAGACGCCUACGGGAGGCAGCAGAGGGGAAUAUUGCACAAUGGGCGCAAGCCUGAUGCAGCGACGCCGCGUGGGGGAUGACGGCCUUCGGGCUGUAAACUCCUUUCAGCCAUGACGAAGCCCUUGUGGUGACGGUAGUGGUAGAAGAAGCACCGGCUAACUACGUG
This 469-nucleotide ribosomal RNA is filed under the name uncultured bacterium. Its description in RNAcentral is "partial 16S ribosomal RNA". It matches the Rfam family "Bacterial small subunit ribosomal RNA", at positions 28 to 507 of the family's 1533-position model. The record is from RNAcentral.